UACGGGGGGGGCAAGCGUUGUUCGGAAUUACUGGGCGUAAAGGGCUCGUAGGCGGCCAACUAAGUCGGAUGUGAAAUCCCCAGGCUUAACCUGGGAACUGCAUCCGAUACUGGAUGGCUUGAAUCCGGGAGAGGGAUGCGGAAUUCCAGGUGUAGCGGUGAAAUGCGCAGAUAUCAGGAGGAACACCGGUGGCGAAGGCGGGUCUCUGGGCCGUAACUGACGCUGAGGAGCGAAAGCGUGGGGAGCGAACAGG
RNAcentral lists this ribosomal RNA (253 nucleotides) under uncultured bacterium. Its description in RNAcentral is "partial 16S ribosomal RNA". It matches the Rfam family "Bacterial small subunit ribosomal RNA", at positions 524 to 776 of the family's 1533-position model. The record is from RNAcentral.